This 466-nucleotide ribosomal RNA is filed under the name uncultured bacterium. RNAcentral describes it as "partial 16S ribosomal RNA". It matches the Rfam family "Bacterial small subunit ribosomal RNA", at positions 28 to 507 of the family's 1533-position model. The record is from RNAcentral.
GAUGAACGCUGGCGGCGUGCUUAACACAUGCAAGUCGAACGGAAAGGCUCCUGCUUGCUGGGGUACUCGAGUGGCGAACGGGUGAGUAACACGUGGGUGAUCUGCCCUGCACUUCGGGAUAAGCCUGGGAAACUGGGUCUAAUACCGGAUAGGACGAUGGUUUGGAUGCCAUUGUGGAAAGUUUUUUCGGUGUGGGAUGAGCUCGCGGCCUAUCAGCUUGUUGGUGGGGUAAUGGCCUACCAAGGCGUCGACGGGUAGCCGGCCUGAGAGGGUGUACGGCCACAUUGGGACUGAGGUAGGGCCCAGACUCCAACGGGAGGCAGCAGUGGGAAAUAUUGCGCAAUGGGCGCAAGCCUGAUGCAGCGACGCCGCGUGGGGGAUGACGGCCUUCGGGUUGUAAACUCCUUUCGCUAGGGACGAAGCGCAAGUGACGGUACCUGGAGAAGAAGCACCGGCUAACUACGUG